This 194-nucleotide ribosomal RNA is filed under the name uncultured bacterium. RNAcentral's name for it is "partial 16S ribosomal RNA". It matches the Rfam family "Bacterial small subunit ribosomal RNA", at positions 1307 to 1500 of the family's 1533-position model. The record is from RNAcentral.
GCAACUCGCCUACAUGAAGUCGGAAUUGCUAGUAAUCGCGGAUCAGCAUGCCGCGGUGAAUACGUUCCCGGGCCUUGUACACACCGCCCGUCACGCCAUGGGAGUCGGUAACACCCGAAGCCUGUAGUCUAACCGCAAGGGGGACGCAGUCGAAGGUGGGAUUGAUGACUGGGGUGAAGUCGUAACAAGGUAGC